AACGCAUAUUGCGCCUGCUGGUAUUCCGGUAGGCAUAUCUGUUUGAGCGUCAGCAAACUACAAUCGAUCCUUAGUGCGUAUCACGAAGCCGCGCUUUGGUUGGUAAUGGGUCGGAGAGAUAUUCUGAACGUUUGUUCGGCCUUCGACUUUAAAUUUGCUGUACGACCGCGAGCCACGUUCCAGUCUGCAGAGUGGAAAUCGUUUUUGAACUUCUGCAUCCGACUUUGAACCGGUUCCGGCGGCGUUAAACUGAAAUUAACUGAAGUUUGACCUCAAAUCAGAUAAGAAUACCCGCUGAACUUAA
RNAcentral lists this unclassified non-coding RNA (304 nucleotides) under uncultured fungus. RNAcentral's name for it is "partial contains 5.8S ribosomal RNA, internal transcribed spacer 2, and large subunit ribosomal RNA". Lineage: Eukaryota; Fungi. The record is from RNAcentral.